AAGGAGCACCACGAAAAGGGUUCAAGACACUGGGUCUUACCCGAGCCGUGAGGAACCGGUUGCCUGUAGUGGGCACGGUUUGGUGCACAACAAACGUUGAGCUGGCGCGGGAAAGCGUUGGUGAUGGACUGCCGGACACACUAUUGGGCUUUGAGACAACAGGCCCGCGGUCCUGUCCCGUUGGGGGCAGGGGGUGUGUUGUUGCCUCACUUUGGUGGUGGGGUGUGGUGUUUGAUUUGUGGAUAGUGGUUGCGAGCAUCUAGCACGCAGAGUGUGGCUGGGGGCCUUCGGGUUUCUGGUCUCGUUUGUGUGUUAAUGUGCAAUUUCUUUUGAAACUCAUUUUUGGUUUUUGUG
RNAcentral lists this unclassified non-coding RNA (354 nucleotides) under Mycolicibacterium houstonense. RNAcentral's name for it is "16S-23S ribosomal RNA intergenic spacer". Lineage: Bacteria; Bacillati; Actinomycetota; Actinomycetes; Mycobacteriales; Mycobacteriaceae. The record is from RNAcentral.